RNAcentral lists this ribosomal RNA (632 nucleotides) under uncultured bacterium. RNAcentral's name for it is "bacterial SSU rRNA". The stretch from base 1 to 538 matches the Rfam family "Bacterial small subunit ribosomal RNA", at positions 338 to 873 of the family's 1533-position model. The record is from RNAcentral.
CCUACGGGAGGCAGCAGUGGGGAAUUUUGGACAAUGGGCGCAAGCCUGAUCCAGCAAUGCCGCGUGCAGGAUGAAGGCCUUCGGGUUGUAAACUGCUUUUGUACGGAACGAAACGGUGAGCUCUAAUACAGUUUGCUAAUGACGGUACCGUAAGAAUAAGCACCGGCUAACUACGUGCCAGCAGCCGCGGUAAUACGUAGGGUGCGAGCGUUAAUCGGAAUUACUGGGCGUAAAGCGUGCGCAGGCGGUGAUGUAAGACAGAUGUGAAAUCCCCGGGCUCAACCCGGGACCUGCAUUUGUGACUGCAUCGCUAGAGUACGGUAGAGGGGGGAUGGAAUUCCGCGUGUAGCAGUGAAAUGCGUAGAUAUGCGGAGGAACACCGAUGGCGAAGGCAAUCCCCUGGACCUGUACUGACGCUCAUGCACGAAAGCGUGGGGAGCAAACAGGAUUAGAUACCCUGGUAGUCCACGCCCUAAACGAUGUCAACUGGUUGUUGGGUCUUCACUGACUCAGUAGAGCGACGCGNGAGUGUAACGUCCGUGGGGUUAGGUUACGGUCCGCGAGGUUAGUUAACGUUAAAGUUAGAGUUAGACGGCGUUGAGACGNGCCGACGGCGACGACGAGGGAGGAGG